UGACACUCUCUACGCCAUUUAUAGAAAACCGUGCUCAGGCGGCACAACCACGUUCAACCACCUUUCUGUUGUUUUGUUCUUUGGGUUAGCAGUUCUUCUUGCUCUUUUCUUUUAUGUGUUUUCCAUCUGAUGCUAACGGCCGUAGCUCGAGCUGCUCCGCAGCCUCAACGCUGUUUCUACUCCUUCUUCGACCCGUGGGCCAAGGGGCGCCGUGCCUAGUUUUUCUAUUACGUUCGUCUACUCCUACAACCGUUUUAACGUGACCGACACGGACAAAAUCAAAGCUCUCGGGAACUUAACAAAGACGUUCUAAACUAACUGGCGAGUAUGUUUUAAUGAGAAGUUUCACCACGUUUCUGUGACUUAAGGAAGGUGGAUUUCGUUACACACUUCUCCAUGUCGAGAAAACUGAAGGAUUGACUCUAACAGUUGUUCCACGGUCUAGAGCCACCGCCACUUAGAACACCUCUACUUUCUCCUAAUGGGUCUUCUUCCUUUAAAAGUUUACCUUCGCUGGGUCUCUUACUCCUCGGGGCUAGAUCGUUUUACGGGUAUUCUUCGAACUUGUGAUCAGGGUCUCCUGCUCCGUCUCCAGCUCCUUCUCCCGCUCCCGCCGGAGGUUGGUUCUCUUUCCUUUAACCAAUACAUGUCAAACUCCUACUCUCGUCGUACAAACGACUUGUUUCACUUGGGAACGGUCCUCUACUCUAUCAAGGUCUCUGGUUGGCACCGUUACUCUAAUAAGGGGUUUCGAGUGUAGGAGAUCACCUCCGAGGUAGCCAGCACUGCGGUCGACACUAAAGUUUCCAACUUUUUCGGUGGUUGGUAGUCGGUCUAAACGGAUACGGUCUACGGUAACCUCCGUAACCACAACCUGGCAGGUCAAAACCUGUAGACUGUCACGUCCAACUACUCCUUCUCCUGAUGCUAUUACUCCUAAUCCGUAUCGGUAGGAGAGUAAGUAGUAUACGAGAUUGUCCUGUCAAGAGGACCACAACAUGUAACAUUUAUAACAAAGUUCAUCAAUGGCGUCGAUACUACACAUUGGAUAAAGAAAAAGGGUUAUUAACCAAAGCUCAACGGAGCGUAACAACUGAAUUGACUGAUCCUACACGAUUUGAAUUGGAACAUAAACUGCCAACUUCGUCACUAUAAGACAGCAGGACAAUGUAACAUGUACAAGAUUGGUCGUCAUUGAAAAAG
Molecule: ribosomal RNA, 1203 nt
Filed under: Triticum aestivum (bread wheat)
Lineage: Eukaryota; Viridiplantae; Streptophyta; Magnoliopsida; Poales; Poaceae
Description: partial small subunit ribosomal RNA
Source: RNAcentral